Molecule: long non-coding RNA, 238 nt
Filed under: Elaeis guineensis (African oil palm)
Lineage: Eukaryota; Viridiplantae; Streptophyta; Magnoliopsida; Arecales; Arecaceae
Description: long non-coding RNA (EGUI_LNC061889)
Source: RNAcentral
UUCCUCCUCUAGAUCUCUUCAUCCUUUGGAGUGUCCAAGGUGCUUGAAAAAAAAGGAAGAGAUCAACCAUCAAAGUUGCUUGCAGGCUAGCAUAUCCAUAUCUUUGAUCUGCGCCAGUCUUCGCAUGAAUUUUCUUAUAGAGGCCAGAUGACUUCGUGUGGCUGUGAGUGAUCUGAGAAAUACCUUAUCCAAUCGUUGGACCAGAGAAAAUCAAUAUCAAAGUUGUUUGAUAAUAUUU